This 515-nucleotide ribosomal RNA is filed under the name uncultured bacterium. RNAcentral's name for it is "partial 16S ribosomal RNA". It matches the Rfam family "Bacterial small subunit ribosomal RNA", at positions 28 to 523 of the family's 1533-position model. The record is from RNAcentral.
GAUGAACGCUGGCGGCGUGCCUAAUACAUGCAAGUCGAGCGAAUGGAUUAAGAGCUUGCUCUUAUGAAGUUAGCGGCGGAUGGGUGAGUAACACGUGGGUAACCUGCCCAUAAGACUGGGAUAACUCCGGGAAACCGGGGCUAAUACCGGAUAACAUUUUGAACCGCAUGGUUCGAAAUUGAAAGGCGGCUUCGGCUGUCACUUAUGGAUGGACCCGCGUCGCAUUAGCUAGUUGGUGAGGUAACGGCGCACCAAGGCAACGAUGCGUAGCCGACCUGAGAGGGGGAUCGGCCACACUGGGACUGAGACACGGCCCAGACUCCUACGGGAGGCGGCAGUAGGGAAUCUUCCGCAAUGGACGAAAGUCUGACGGAGCACCGCCGCGUGAGUGAUGAAGGCUUUCGGGUCGUAAAACUCUGUUGUUAGGGAAGAACAAGUGCUAGUUGAAUAAGCUGGCACCUUGACGGUACCUAACCAGAAAGCCACGGCUAACUACGUGCCAGCCGCCGCAGUAA